AUAAAUUGAUAAUAUAUAAAUAAAGAAACUAAAAGAGCAGAAAAAUUGAAGGGAUCGUGUGCUUGUUUUUGAGAUAUAAGCCAUUGAAAAUUUGGCUUGAAAUAAUUUUCUCUAGAUUUUUUAAUACAUUAACAUUGGCACCUUUUUUUUUUCUAAAACGAUGAAAAAAAACAAGGAUUUUAUAAGAUUUUCAAAGACGACAUUUCAAACUAUAUGUUAUCAAAUUAUGGAAAGAAAAGUAGGGGUUAGUGGGCAAAAUUGUUUAAGGCAUUCAAGUGGAUAAAACCAGAGGAUAUCGAAAAUCUGACAAAAAAUCAAAAAAUAGGAGCAAACAUCCUUAACAAAAGUGGAAAAUAUGAUUUUGACCAACAGUUAGACCAGAAAAACCUUAGUUAUUGAAAUAUUUGUAUGAUCUUUAAAACUGUAUUCUUUAAUUAUUAAUGUUAUGCAGGGUUACUUCAUACAAAUAUAUUGCAGAAAAGAUAUUUGAUUUUAUAACUAAACACUAGAUGCUCUGUAUUUGGUAUU
RNAcentral lists this long non-coding RNA (528 nucleotides) under Mytilus galloprovincialis (Mediterranean mussel). Lineage: Eukaryota; Metazoa; Mollusca; Bivalvia; Mytilida; Mytilidae. The record is from RNAcentral.